This 6403-nucleotide long non-coding RNA is filed under the name Mus musculus (house mouse). Its description in RNAcentral is "long non-coding RNA chr12:89901852-89908255". Lineage: Eukaryota; Metazoa; Chordata; Mammalia; Rodentia; Muridae. The record is from RNAcentral.
GUUGGUCCUGGGAAUUGAACUACUAUACUGACUAAGCCCUUUGGCUAGCCUCUCAUUUAACAUAUUUGAAAGAUAUCUUUGAGAGGAGUGUUACUUAGAAAAAAGUUAAGGGUUUUUGGUCUAGUUGUGGUUUAGGGUAGGAAAGAGGUGAUUAAAGAGGAGGAGACAUCUAUGUAAGCAAAACCAUCUGAUGCCAGAUGAUUUCUGGUCUGCUAGGCUGAGCAAAGUCUAAGAUGUAGUGGAAAUGUUAAAAAAAAAAAAAGUACCCCCUUGACAUGGAGACUUAAGAAUGAGUUUUUUUCCACUUCAGUAAUCUAUCUAUAUAUAUAUAUAUUAAAUACACUCUCUUACUCUCUACAUUGUUCUCUGGAUCACAGGCUUACUACUCUUCUUUUAAAUUAGACCACACAGUAGAAAAAUCACCUAAGCUGGAGUUCAGCAUAGAAAGGCUCUUCAAAGUCAAACCUCUUAACCUGGCAGAGAUGGCAAGACUUUCUCAAGUUAGCAAUCUGUUAACCUGAAAUUGUGGUUUCAUUUCUCAAUAAAGGGUUACACACUUUAGAAAGAAAACAAUUUUAACUUACUUUGUAAUUGUGAAGAUAUUUAGGAUCAUAGAGCCUUUGUGUAUUUACGGGCAUGACAUUUGUGUGUCUGUGUGUGUGUAUGUGGUAUGUGCAUGCAUGCGUGUGUGGUUUUGUGUGUGUGUGUAUGUGUGUGUGUGUGUAAUAUGUGUUCAUAUGUGUGUGUUCAGGAUAUAUGUGCUACAGAACAUACAGAUUAUACAGGACCUAAUGUAGGUCAAAGGGAAACCUUGCCUUCGAUCUUCUCUGAGAUAAUGUCUCUCUGUUUUUCACUGAUGGGAGGCAAAGUUCCCAGCAUUCUCCCACCCGGACCUUUCGCCUCUCUCUAAAGAAAGGCCUGGAUUACAGAUAGGUGCUGUGGUGCCCAGCUUUCACAUGGGUCCCAGGGAUUCAAACUCAUAUUAUCCUGCUCAUAUGACAAGUGCUCUGCUCACUAAGACAUCUCCCCUGCCUCCUAUCUAUGACAUUUCAGAGCCUGAAUGUCUUGAGUUAAAAGCUUACCUGACAAAAUAUGACUGAACGAUGGGAAGAAAAAAUGUUCAAUUUCAUUGAUCCUGUCCCUUGACCUAUGAAGCAGGACCAGUGGUAGAAUUAAAAUUAAAGUAGUUCAAAUUAGACAGUAUAGUUAAAUAAUAUAUUUAAAAUUAAAUAAUAUACUAUAGUUUGAUAAAAAUUAUGCAUUUAACACUUUUGUCAUUAUAGCUGACAACAUAAAAUUCCAAUGAAUAUUAGGCUUUGCUAGAGUAUUGGUUACUAUUGGUUAGAUUUUCAGUUUGUUUCUAGAAAUAUCUCUAUUUCUCUUUCCUUGCUCAGACAGUUUAAGACUUUGAAUAUUAUAUCUAGAAGAUUAUUUUAAUUGUGUCCAAAUCAGCAACUUCUGCUUUGGGUAGUGCCUUUUUAUGUCUCUUUUAGGGAGAGUAAAUUUUCUAUCCUGGUUCCAUGUGUAGAUGCUUUAUAGCUACGCCUUUCCUUGCUUGUCCCCAUCAAGGUGUGAGUGUGUGGGACUCCAUGUGAGAGUAGGUCCUCUCCCAAGUGAUUUCCUUAGGAACCCAUGACAGUUCCCUCCAUCAGGUGAUCUUACGUGUCUAUCUCCCUAUGGCAUUUUGCGGUACACAAUGACAACAUGAUAGAGUGAUUCAUGGCCCUCAGCUCAGCAUUGGAUCCAGGUUGAGAGCUGCCAAGGCUUUACAUCCAUCAGCAUUCAGCCUUCUCUUGGAGAUAUAUGCCUGGUUCUCAGGUACUCUGGAGUGAGGGAGGAACAGUUCCCUCUUCUGUGUGUUGUGAUCAUCAGAGCCACUGUGGAGAAGUUCGAUUAGCUUUCCAUUCUUCAGUGCUAGUGAAUGAUGAAAGCCAGUCAAAGGGAGCAAACUCUAUAGUGUGUGAAAAAGGGAGUAAGACAGAUUUCAGACUUUCUAGGCUACCUUUCUCCUGGAGAGUCUUCUGAGGUUUCUCUCCCUUGCCUUUCAAGUGGAAGGAAACAAGUAAUUACACAUGGGCAUGCUCUGUGAACUCAGGCUUCACACACAGCAAGGACUUCGCAUUGCAUGUUUGCUGUAUCAGUUACAUGUAUCAUUACAUUACAGGAGCUUGGGUUUUAAUUAAGACUCGACUCUCAGGCAGUCUGUGCCUUAGCUUUGUCCUUGAAACACACAAGGAGGCUGCUGGAGGAAAGAAAGGUCUCUUUCAGACUAACCAAAAACUGUGAACAGAACCUGUGAAGGACAGCCUUAAAGAAUCCCAUGUUGGUGGAUUUAGACACAACAAAGAAAAGAUGUUUCUAGGUGGUGUUUAAUUUGUAUCUGUUACCUGGAAAAGUUCUCUUCUUGUGACACGUUCUUCAAUUUCCAUUUCAUUUAUUUGUUGUAUCUUUUGAUUUCCAUUCCCAGGUAGCAUUUAGCCUAUACUGUCCAUUGCUCAAUUUGUGUCUGUUCCCAUAAAUAUUGGUAAAUGUAACCCUUUCAUGACAACUAGGGAACUCCUUUAUUUUAAAUGCUAGAAAGCUGUAAGUGGAGCUUUGAAUUGGGGUAAUAUCUAUUUUGGGACAAUGACAACUCUGGAGACCGUCAUAUAACAUUUAUUAAGUCGAUGUGUGCACAGAAAUUAAUUGUUUUAAUCACUACUUUUACUGAAACAAGUGAAACAUACCAGAGUGGCCUACAUUUCAAAAAUGUGACUACAGAGAUUUUAAUAUUUUAUUCCAUGGUGAAUUUUAAAACUAUUCACACAUUGGAGAUUUUCUCUCAGAUAGAGUAUGAAAAUCAAAUAGGAUUCAUUUGAAGGGCCAUAGAUGAAUCUCCAUUAUUGGAAUUCUGGCCAUGGCAGUACUUUUCAGUAUGAUGCAGAUGCAAAGCAGGUGACUUUGAGCUUUGGCCACUCCAUUUCCUUUUUCUUUAAAAUAGAGUGAGAGUUUCCAUCCUCUUUUACUUAUGGCACUAAAAUAAACUGAGGAUUUUGAAAACACCCUGGAAACAGCAAGACAGCAUUAUUUUUACAAAAAAUUAGAAAUGUGUACAUAGUGUCUUCAAGAACUGGCAUAAAUAUCAUAAAACUAAAAGGUGUACAAUAUUAGAAUUGGGAAAACACUGAAUGAAAAUUGAACUAUCUGUCAAAUGUAGAUGGGCUCUGAUAUUUUUGAUAUAAAAUUUUUUCAUAUAAUGUCUUUUGAUUAUUCCCCACAUUUUCCUAGGUCCUACCUCCCUACUUAUCAACCUUCAUGCCUUUCUCUCUCUCUCUCUCUCAAAUACAAAAAUAUCAAAGCAAGCAAGCAAACAGACACACAAGUGCACACACAUACACUCAUGCACACACACAUAUGCCCACAUUACAAAAUAGAAGAGUGGUAGUGGUAGUAUAUGGUUAAAGGAAAGUAUUACUGAAAAUCACAUAAGUUGAAAUCUUAUUUCAACUAUUAACCCUUCAAUCUAUUAACCCUUCAAUCUUGUCUUAUACUGUGCUAUGAAGUUGCCUUGGUUUUUCACCAAGUGACUGCCGGUGGUGGGUUUCCUCAGCUGAACAUGUCAUAGUACACCUGUCUAAUAUAGCAUUCUGGUAUUCUGUUUUCAGGAAAAGGUAGAUUCUGGCUUUUCUUCCCCUAGAGGAAAAGGUAUUUAAAAGCUGUGUCCUCCAUUCCCUCCUAGGGAGGAGGGAUUUCUUUAGUACUCAGCAGGCAAUUUUCCUACUUCUUCCCAUGGUGAAAGUAAUGAGGAACCUGGCUGAUAAUUGUUAUUCUAGGUAGUGUAAGGAUAGCAGAUUUGCUCACAGGAUAUUGUGUAUACAGAUAGACACUGUAAUCAUGGCAGAGCAAAUUACCAUAGUCUGUAAGAGAAUUACACAGAGAGCAAGAAACACAGAUGCAAAAGGCUCUGUCCCAGAAAUGAGGAGAGAGGCAAGAAAUCAGAGCAAGACAUUGUACAUUCCAUUUAGAGCAAAGAACAAGGGCAGCAGCAUGGGAAGGCCUUUAGUAUAACUACAGAGUAAAGCAAGGAGAGAGACAAAGCAUACCCCUCAGUAAUGUUAUUAUGUCUGCAAUUGCUUCAGCAGGAUUGACUGCUUUUUAAAAUAUCUAGUGGAAGGAAGAACACGUUUAAUAGACUAUUAAGAAAUAGGCUUUAAAAAGCAUGUAUCGAUUAAAACAAAAGUUAAAUUUUGGAAUAUUUACUAUAUACAAGUCAUCAAACAGCACUGACCUAAAUAUACGAGUAUUACUGGAAUUUGUUAGCGUGCAUAUUUAUUGAGUCAGUCUAUUUUUGUAGGAUAAUUAUACUAGAUCCAGUAGGCUAGGAUCAGAAACUUUUAUGAAAAAUAAGAAGGAGGAGAAGGGGAAGGGGAAGGGAAAGGGAAAGGGGAAGAAGAAGAAGAAGAAGAAGAAGAAGAAGAAGAAGAAGAAGAAGAAGAAGAAGAAGAAGAAGAAAUCUCUUGAUUAAAUUAGUUAUUUCAAAUUGACAUGAUCUUACUUGAGUAAUACUUCCUGAAAGCAAAUACUAAUCUAGGUAGAAUGUAUGUGAUGUAGCUCAUAGAGAAAUCUAAAAAUAAAGCAUCAUGACUCUUUUAAAAAUUGUCCUGAAAGGCAUCGUCAUCUAUAUUGAUACCGAGUGGCAUGGGUUCCCUUCAUAUGUGGUUCUGAGGUCAGCAGGAAAAGGAAGUAAUGAUAAUGACAAUAACAUUAGCCCUUAUCUAUGUCAAACACAGUAUAUAUAACUACAGUAAGUAAUAACUGGAAUAUCUUUUAUUUUUCUUGAAGUCAGACAGCUAUGGAAGUUGACAUCAAGUUUUUAGAUGCAGAAGUGAAGUUCCAAGAACUGGAAGAAUUUACUGUGCAUCCCAUAGCUCACUGAUAAAGAAUACAGCAGGCUUUUUACCCCAACCAUCUCAACAUAAUAUUUCUUUAAGUUCUGUUAAUAACCAGUUAUUAAGAUAUUAUUUGCAUGCAUUUUGUUAUCUUACUGGGGUGCACAUCACAGGUUUUCAACUGGGGCAGCAUCUUCAAGUUCUUAUGUCAAGGGCCUACCAUUGGCUAUUGUAAUUCAAAACCUCAGGAGACCUGGGGCAGACUUUGGCUGCAAUCUUUUGAAAAUAUAAACAUCAGUCUAUAUAAAUGUAAUAUAAACAUCAUUUUUUAAUGUCUCAGGAGAGUCUAGGAGUCUGGUUUCUAAACCAAUGCAUUUAAUAUUCGAUGUAACAAUCUAUACAUUUGUACCAUUCCUAUUUAUGAGGACUGAGUGAUUAAAUGCUGAAGCUGACAUGCUCCAUCAAGGUCACAUAUCCAGUAAACAGCUAAGGUGGUUGAUAAAUGCACAACUGUCUGGCUCAGAAGUCCACAUUCUCCCUGAUGCUUCAAUCUAGUGUCUAGCCAUUUUACUGGUGCGAUGAAUCUCUUCUUCCUAUUACUUGGUGUAUAUUGCAGAACUUAGUUAGCUUUGACCUCAAUCUUGUUGUAUUGGCUAGUAAAAAUCCACAAACAGAGCCAGUUAACAGACUGUUUUAAACAACUGUCCCAGAUAGAGCACCGUGUUAGUUUUGUUUUGUUUUGUUUGAUUGUUUGUUUGUUUUUUGUUUUUGAGAACAAACAGGACAAGUAUCCCACAUUCCUAUCUCAGUGAUCUUUUUCUUUGUGUAAGGGCUCAGACUAGGAAUCUUCAAUCUUGUCCAAUGGAUAGCUCAUGAAAUCUCAUGAAUUGUUGUGAGGCACCUGCAGUUUAUAUCCUAUUGUAUGACAAAUAGCCACAAGCCAAAGAUCUGAAGACCAUGCAAGCUCCCUUUUACGUAAGAGGUAUGACCCAGCAGUGGUCUUACUUUCUCUUGAACUUUCUUCACAAGACAAAGGAGAACCCUUGUGAUCUGCUUUUGAGUUUUAUAUUCUUUCAAAAACCAUUUUUAUGUUUGAAGCCAUUACUUUUGGUUGGUUUUCUAACCCCAAGAAUUAAAAACAAAAGCUCUUGGCAACUAUAUCUAGGGAAGACUGUUCCAUCUUGUGUGCAUGCAUUUUAAAAAUGUAGUAUCAAUAUAAAAGAGUACAAUUUCAUUCAUGGUUCGGAAACUAAACCUCAACAAAGAUUUUGUUCUAGCAAUAAAACACAACUGAGGAAACUAAUAACAUGAGGGAAUACCUUAAAGAAUUAUAUUCACUUGCACAAUUCCAUUACAAGUAAACCUGCAUGCAUACAUUCAAACUAAAUGCAUAUAUGCUAUAUUCAUGCAAUGCUCUUGAUUUGUAUGGACAGCAAUAUUCUGAUACGUACUAUAAUAUUGACUUCUUUAUUCCAUAAUAUUUUUAUUGGAUAUAAUACACAAUUUUAAAUAUAGUAACUAUCCUAAUAUUGAUU